UUGUUGGUAAGGUAAAAGCUUACCAAGGCUUCGAUCAGUAGCUGGUCUGAGAGGACGGCCAGCCACACUGGGACUGAGACACGGCCCAGACUCCUACGGGAGGCAGCAGUGGGGAAUUUUGGACAAUGGGGGCAACCCUGAUCCAGCCAUGCCGCGUGAGUGAAGAAGGCCUUCGGGUUGUAAAGCUCUUUCAGCCGGAACGAAACGGUUACGGAUAAUACCCGUGACUACUGACGGUACCGGAAGAAGAAGCACCGGCUAACUACGUGCCAGCAGCCGCGGUAAUACGUAGGGUGCAAGCGUUAAUCGGAAUUACUGGGCGUAAAGCGUGCGCAGGUGGUUUUGUAAGUCAGAUGUGAAAGCCCCGGGCUCAACCUGGGAACUGCGUUUGAAACUACAAGACUAGAGUGUGGCAGAGGGGGGUGGAAUUCCGCGUGUAGCAGUGAAAUGCGUAGAGAUGUGGAGGAACACCGAUGGCGAAGGCAGCCCCCUGGGUCAACACUGACGCUCAGGCACGAAAGCAUGGGGAGCAAACAGGAUUAGAUACCCUGGUAGUCCAUGCCCUAAACGAUGUCAACUAGUUGUCGGGCCUUUACGGGCUUGGUAACGUAGCUAACGCGUGAAGUUGACCGCCUGGGGAGUACGAUCGCAAGAUUAAAACUCAAAUGAAUUGACGGGGACCCGCACAAGCGGUGGAUUAUGUGGAUUAAUUCGAUGCAACGCGAAAAACCUUACCUACCCUUGACAUGUAUCGAAGCCCGCAGAAAAGCGGGGGUGCCCGAAAGGGAACGAUAACACAGGUGCUGCAUGGCUGUCGUCAGCUCGCGUCGUGAGAUGUUGGGUUAAGUCCCGCAACGAGCGCAACCCUUGUCAUUAAUUGCCAUCAUUUAGUUGGGCACUUUAAUGAGACUGCCGG
This 916-nucleotide ribosomal RNA is filed under the name uncultured bacterium. RNAcentral describes it as "bacterial SSU rRNA". It matches the Rfam family "Bacterial small subunit ribosomal RNA", at positions 246 to 1155 of the family's 1533-position model. The record is from RNAcentral.